CCGGCGAUUUCCGAAUGGGGAAACCCAGUGUGAUUCGUCACACUAUCAUUAACUGAAUCCAUAGGUUAAUGAGGCGAACCGGGGGAACUGAAACAUCUAAGUACCCCGAGGAAAAGAAAUCAACCGAGAUUCCCCCAGUAGCGGCGAGCGAACGGGGAGCAGCCCAGAGCCUGAAUCAGUGUGUGUGUUAGUGGAAGCGUCUGGAAAGGCGCGCGAUACAGGGUGACAGCCCCGUACACAAAAAUGCACAUACUGUGAGCUCGAUGAGUAGGGCGGGACACGUGGUAUCCUGUCUGAAUAUGGGGGGACCAUCCUCCAAGGCUAAAUACUCCUGACUGACCGAUAGUGAACCAGUACCGUGAGGGAAAGGCGAAAAGAACCCCGGCGAGGGGAGUGAAAAAGAACCUGAAACCGUGUACGUACAAGCAGUGGGAGCACGCUUCGGCGUGUGACUGCGUACCUUUUGUAUAAUGGGUCAGCGACUUAUAUUCUGUAGCAAGGUUAACCGAAUAGGGGAGCCGAAGGGAAACCGAGUCUUAACUGGGCGUUAAGUUGCAGGGUAUAGACCCGAAACCCGGUGAUCUAGCCAUGGGCAGGUUGAAGGUUGGGUAACACUAACUGGAGGACCGAACCGACUAAUGUUGAAAAAUUAGCGGAUGACUUGUGGCUGGGGGUGAAAGGCCAAUCAAACCGGGAGAUAGCUGGUUCUCCCCGAAAGCUAUUUAGGUAGCGCCUCGUGAAUUCAUCUCCGGGGGUAGAGCACUGUUUCGGCAAGGGGGUCAUCCCGACUUACCAACCCGAUGCAAACUGCGAAUACCGGAGAAUGUUAUCACGGGAGACACACGGCGGGUGCUAACGUCCGUCGUGAAGAGGGAAACAACCCAGACCGCCAGCUAAGGUCCCAAAGUCAUGGUUAAGUGGGAAACGAUGUGGGAAGGCCCAGACAGCCAGGAUGUUGGCUUAGAAGCAGCCAUCAUUUAAAGAAAGCGUAAUAGCUCACUGGUCGAGUCGGCCUGCGCGGAAGAUGUAACGGGGCUAAACCAUGCACCGAAGCUGCGGCAGCGACACUAUGUGUUGUUGGGUAGGGGAGCGUUCUGUAAGCCUGCGAAGGUGUGCUGUGAGGCAUGCUGGAGGUAUCAGAAGUGCGAAUGCUGACAUAAGUAACGAUAAAGCGGGUGAAAAGCCCGCUCGCCGGAAGACCAAGGGUUCCUGUCCAACGUUAAUCGGGGCAGGGUGAGUCGACCCCUAAGGCGAGGCCGAAAGGCGUAGUCGAUGGGAAACAGGUUAAUAUUCCUGUACUUGGUGUUACUGCGAAGGGGGGACGGAGAAGGCUAUGUUGGCCGGGCGACGGUUGUCCCGGUUUAAGCGUGUAGGCUGAUUUUCCAGGCAAAUCCGGAAAAUCAAGGCUGAGGCGUGAUGACGAGGCACUACGGUGCUGAAGCAACAAAUGCCCUGCUUCCAGGAAAAGCCUCUAAGCAUCAGGUAACAUCAAAUCGUACCCCAAACCGACACAGGUGGUCAGGUAGAGAAUACCAAGGCGCUUGAGAGAACUCGGGUGAAGGAACUAGGCAAAAUGGUGCCGUAACUUCGGGAGAAGGCACGCUGAUAUGUAGGUGAAGUCCCUCGCGGAUGGAGCUGAAAUCAGUCGAAGAUACCAGCUGGCUGCAACUGUUUAUUAAAAACACAGCACUGUGCAAACACGAAAGUGGACGUAUACGGUGUGACGCCUGCCCGGUGCCGGAAGGUUAAUUGAUGGGGUCAGCGCAAGCGAAGCUCUUGAUCGAAGCCCCGGUAAACGGCGGCCGUAACUAUAACGGUCCUAAGGUAGCGAAAUUCCUUGUCGGGUAAGUUCCGACCUGCACGAAUGGCGUAAUGAUGGCCAGGCUGUCUCCACCCGAGACUCAGUGAAAUUGAACUCGCUGUGAAGAUGCAGUGUACCCGCGGCAAGACGGAAAGACCCCGUGAACCUUUACUAUAGCUUGACACUGAACAUUGAGCCUUGAUGUGUAGGAUAGGUGGGAGGCUUUGAAGUGUGGACGCCAGUCUGCAUGGAGCCGGCCUUGAAAUACCACCCUUUAAUGUUUGAUGUUCUAACGUAGACCCGUGAUCCGGGUUGCGGACAGUGUCUGGUGGGUAGUUUGACUGGGGCGGUCUCCUCCUAAAGAGUAACGGAGGAGCACGAAGGUUGGCUAAUCCUGGUCGGACAUCAGGAGGUUAGUGCAAUGGCAUAAGCCAGCUUGACUGCGAGCGUGACGGCGCGAGCAGGUGCGAAAGCAGGUCAUAGUGAUCCGGUGGUUCUGAAUGGAAGGGCCAUCGCUCAACGGAUAAAAGGUACUCCGGGGAUAACAGGCUGAUACCGCCCAAGAGUUCAUAUCGACGGCGGUGUUUGGCACCUCGAUGUCGGCUCAUCACAUCCUGGGGCUGAAGUAGGUCCCAAGGGUAUGGCUGUUCGCCAUUUAAAGUGGUACGCGAGCUGGGUUUAGAACGUCGUGAGACAGUUCGGUCCCUAUCUGCCGUGGGCGCUGGAGAACUGAGGGGGGCUGCUCCUAGUACGAGAGGACCGGAGUGGACGCAUCACUGGUGUUCGGGUUGUCAUGCCAAUGGCACUGCCCGGUAGCUAAAUGCGGAAGAGAUAAGUGCUGAAAGCAUCUAAGCACGAAACUUGCCCCGAGAUGAGUUCUCCCUGACCCUUUAAGGGUCCUGAAGGAACGUUGAAGACGACGACGUUGAUAGGCCGGGUGUGUAAGCGCAGCGAUGCGUUGAGCUAACCGGUACUAAUGAACCGUGAGG
RNAcentral lists this ribosomal RNA (2790 nucleotides) under Escherichia coli. RNAcentral describes it as "partial 23S ribosomal RNA". It matches the Rfam family "Bacterial large subunit ribosomal RNA". Lineage: Bacteria; Pseudomonadati; Pseudomonadota; Gammaproteobacteria; Enterobacterales; Enterobacteriaceae. The record is from RNAcentral.